AUUGUUUUACUCUCGAGUUUUGUGAAACAAUCGAUUAUAAUCAAGUUUCCCAUAGCAGUGUUUCAUUGACGAGUUGUUCAUUGACAAACUUGAAACCAGAUAAGGUUAAUCAACCUGAGCUAUUUGAACAAUUAAAAGAUGACAGCAAAAUUUGUUCGAUUUACAUAAAUCAUAAGAAGAUUACAGGAAAGAGUAAAACUGAUCCACAUUCAGCAGAAUUAUCAGCACCAAAGGAAUCAAGCAAUUCUAAUUUAGCAAUCGGAUUGGGAGCAGCAGUAUUCGUUAUGGCGUUUGCUGGUGGAUUCAUUGGAUUUAAAUUUGCUGCUAAAAAAGAGAUCAUUUCAUAGACUAAUUGACAGCCAAAAAUCAACAUCAGAGGAAACCUGAAAAUCAUGUUCACGUAAUCUUAAUCAGUCUGAUACAAUCACAAUAAGUACCAAUAAG
Molecule: long non-coding RNA, 444 nt
Filed under: Lupinus mutabilis
Lineage: Eukaryota; Viridiplantae; Streptophyta; Magnoliopsida; Fabales; Fabaceae
Description: partial ncRNA
Source: RNAcentral